AAGCUCGUAGUUGAAUUUCGGGCUCAAUUUAUUGGUCGUGCAAUAGUACGUACUGGUAUUAUUGAUUCCUACCUUCUGACGAACCAUGAUGUCAUUAAUUUGGUGUUAUGGGGAAUCAGGACUGUUACUUUGAAAAAAUUAGAGUGUUUAAAGCAGGCUCACGCUUGAAUACAUUAGCAUGGAAUAACGAAAUAGGACGUUUGAUUCUAUUUUGUUGGUUUCUAGGAUCGACGUAAUGAUUAAUAGGGAUAGUUGGG
Molecule: ribosomal RNA, 257 nt
Filed under: uncultured Glomeromycotina
Lineage: Eukaryota; Fungi; Glomeromycota
Description: partial 18S ribosomal RNA
Rfam family: Eukaryotic small subunit ribosomal RNA
Source: RNAcentral